AGAGUUUGAUCCUGGCUCAGGACGAACGCUGGCGGUGUGCUUCACACAUGCAAGUCGAACGGGGUAGCAAUACCCAGUGGCGGACGGGUGAGUAACACGUAGGAAUCUGCCUCAGAGUGGGGGAUAACUGACCGAAAGGUUAGCUAAUACCGCAUAUGUCGAAAGAUAAAAGGAGUAAUCCGCUAUGAGAUGAGCCUGCGUCCGAUUAGCUAGUUGGUAGGGUAAAGGCCUACCAAGGCUACGAUCGGUAGCUGGUCUGAGAGGAUGAUCAGCCACAAUGGAACUGAGACACGGUCCAUACUCCUACGGGAGGCAGCAGUGGGGAAUUUUACGCAAUGGGCGAAAGCCUGACGUAGCGACACCGCGUGAACGAAGAAGCCUUUUGGGGUGUAAAGUUCUGUCAGC
Molecule: ribosomal RNA, 405 nt
Filed under: uncultured bacterium
Lineage: Bacteria
Description: bacterial SSU rRNA
Rfam family: Bacterial small subunit ribosomal RNA
Source: RNAcentral